UUCUAUUGCCGAAAUGGAUUU
RNAcentral lists this non-coding RNA (21 nucleotides) under Caenorhabditis elegans. The record is from RNAcentral. Lineage: Eukaryota; Metazoa; Nematoda; Chromadorea; Rhabditida; Rhabditidae.